UGACCUACGGGGCGCAGCAGUCGGGAAUAUUGCGCAAUGGAGGAAACUCUGACGCAGUGACGCCGCGUAUAGGAAGAAGGCUUUCGGAUUGUAAACUCUUGUCGUUAGGGAAGAUAAAAGACUGUACCUAAGGAGGAAGCCCCGGCUAACCAUGUGCCAGCAGCCGCGGUAAUACAUAGGGGGCAAGCGUUAUCCGGAAUUAUUGGGUGUAAAGGGUGCGUAGACGGGGAAACAAGUUGGUUGUGCAAUCCCUCGGCUCAA
RNAcentral lists this ribosomal RNA (261 nucleotides) under uncultured bacterium. Its description in RNAcentral is "partial 16S ribosomal RNA". It matches the Rfam family "Bacterial small subunit ribosomal RNA", at positions 335 to 612 of the family's 1533-position model. The record is from RNAcentral.